UCCUACGGGGCGCAGCAGUGAGGGAUAUUGGUCAAUGGGGGAAACCCUGAACCAGCAACGCCGCGUGAGGGAAGACGGUUUUCGGAUUGUAAACCUCUGUCCUCUGUGAAGAUAAUGACGGUAGCAGAGGAGGAAGCUCCGGCUAACUACGUGCCAGCAGCCGCGGUAAUACGUAGGGAGCGAGCGUUGUCCGGAUUUACUGGGUGUAAAGGGUGCGUAGGCGGCUUUGCAAGUCGGAAGUGAAAUCCAUGUGCUUAACCCAUGAACUGCUUUUGAAACUGCAGAGCUGGAGUGGAGUAGAGGUG
Molecule: ribosomal RNA, 305 nt
Filed under: uncultured bacterium
Lineage: Bacteria
Description: bacterial SSU rRNA
Rfam family: Bacterial small subunit ribosomal RNA
Source: RNAcentral